This 326-nucleotide long non-coding RNA is filed under the name Gallus gallus (chicken). The record is from RNAcentral. Lineage: Eukaryota; Metazoa; Chordata; Aves; Galliformes; Phasianidae.
GGGAACAGCUGCUCCGUGCAGCGCAGCUCCCGCGGGCGGGCGGCCGGCGGUGAGAAAACGAGCAGCGCUGUCAGGGCCCAUCAGCACGGCGGGGCUGACGGCAGCACCCGUGCCACUGGGGACGGGGGGCGGUGCUGGGAUGCUGCUGCAGUAAGGGAUAGAGCUGUGUGGCUGCAGGCUGACGUGCAGCUGCCCGACCUCAUGGCUUCAUCACGGCCACCAUCACCCUGUGCUGAGAUGCAGCUGAACCAUCGUGGGUGACUCACUCUGCAGGCUGGGUGCUGUGAGGGGACCACUGCCACAAGCUCACUCCCAGCAAGACCAGC